Molecule: regulatory RNA element, 128 nt
Organism: Firmicutes bacterium CAG:791
Lineage: Bacteria; Bacillati; Bacillota
Rfam family: Ribosomal protein L10 leader
About the family: This family is a putative r-protein leader autoregulatory structure found in B. subtilis and other low-GC Gram-positive bacteria.
Source: Rfam
UGGUUCAGAUAGAACCAGCCGAAGACAGCAGGUGUCCGCAAGGACGUAAUGCGCAGCAGCCUGCCGAGGAUGAUGAAGUGAAAUUCGAGUCCCUCUGUCAUGCGGCAGAGGGAUUUUUCAUUUAUCUC